RNAcentral lists this ribosomal RNA (440 nucleotides) under uncultured bacterium. Its description in RNAcentral is "partial 16S ribosomal RNA". It matches the Rfam family "Bacterial small subunit ribosomal RNA", at positions 338 to 795 of the family's 1533-position model. The record is from RNAcentral.
CCUACGGGUGGCAGCAGUGGGGAAUAUUGCACAAUGGGGGAAACCCUGAUGCAGCGACGCCGCGUGAGGGAAGAAGUAUUUCGGUAUGUAAAGCUCUAUCAGCAGGGAAGAAAAUGACGGUACCUGAGUAAGAAGCCCCGGCUAACUACGUGCCAGCAGCCGCGGUAAUACGUAGGGGGCAAGCGUUAUCCGGAUUUACUGGGUGUAAAGGGAGCGUAGACGGCAGUGCAAGUCAGGAGUGAAAGGCGGGGGCGCAACCCCGGGACUGCUCUUGAAACUGUACGGCUGGAGUGCAGGAGAGGUAAGUGGAAUUCCUAGUGUAGCGGUGAAAUGCGUAGAUAUUAGGAGGAACACCAGUGGCGAAGGCGGCUUACUGGACUGUAACUGACGUUGAGGCUCGAAAGCGUGGGGAGCAAACAGGAUUAGAUACCCUGGUAGUC